CUUUACUGUAGCUUUGUAUUGGACUUUGAACAGAUCUGUGUAGGAUAGGUGGGAGGCUUUGAAGCUGGGUCGCUAGAUCUGGUGGAGCCGACGUUGAAAUACCACCCUGGUGUGUUUGAGGUUCUAACCCAGGUCCAUUAUCUGGAUCGGGGACAGUGCAUGGUAGGCAGUUUGAUUGGGGCGGUCUCCUCCCAAAGUGUAACGGAGGAGUUCGAAGGUACGCUAGGUACGGUCGGACAUCGUGCUAAUAGUGCAAUGGCAUAAGCGUGCUUAACUGCGAGACUGACAAGUCGAGCAGAUGCGAAAGCAGGACAUAGUGAUCCGGUGGUUCUGUAUGGAAGGGCCAUCGCUCAACGGAUAAAAGGUA
RNAcentral lists this ribosomal RNA (367 nucleotides) under uncultured organism. Its description in RNAcentral is "bacterial LSU rRNA". It matches the Rfam family "Bacterial large subunit ribosomal RNA", at positions 2099 to 2465 of the family's 2925-position model. The record is from RNAcentral.